RNAcentral lists this ribosomal RNA (433 nucleotides) under uncultured bacterium. Its description in RNAcentral is "partial 16S ribosomal RNA". It matches the Rfam family "Bacterial small subunit ribosomal RNA", at positions 29 to 507 of the family's 1533-position model. The record is from RNAcentral.
AACGAACGCUGGCGGCAUGCCUAACACAUGCAAGUCGAACGAUGCCUUCGGGCAUAGUGGCGCACGGGUGCGUAACGCGUGGGAAUCUGCCUUUCGGUUCGGAAUAACUCAGGGAAACUUGAGCUAAUACCGGAUAACGUCGCAAGACCAAAGAUUUAUCACCGAAAGAUGAGCCCGCGUAGGAUUAGCUAGUUGGUGAGGUAAAGGCUCACCAAGGCGACGAUCCUUAGCUGGUCUGAGAGGAUGAUCAGCCACACUGGGACUGAGACACGGCCCAGACUCCUACGGGAGGCAGCAGUGGGGAAUAUUGGACAAUGGGCGAAAGCCUGAUCCAGCAAUGCCGCGUGAGUGAUGAAGGCCUUAGGGUUGUAAAGCUCUUUUACCCGGGAAGAUAAUGACGGUACCGGGUGAAUAAGCCCCGGCUAACUCCGUG